AUUGAACGCUGGCGGCAUGCUUUACACAUGCAAGUCGAACGGCAGCGCGGGCUUCGUCCUGGCUGCUAGUGGCGUACGGGUGAGUAAUCCACCAGAACCUGCCCCGUAGUGUGGAAUAGCACGGCUAACACCGGCUUAAUACCUCAUACCACCUGACGGUGAACGCCGGGGGUCUUCGGACCUCGCGCUUUUGGAGCGGCCGUUGGCAGAAUAGCUAGUUGGUGGGGUAAAGGCCUACCGAGGCGACGAUCUGUAGCUGGUCUGAGAGGGCGACAAGCCACACGGGGAGUGAGAAUCGGCCCGGACUACUACGGGAGGCAGCAGUGGGGAAUUUUGGACAAUGGGCGAAAGCCUGAUACAGCAAUGCGGCGUGUGUGAUGAAGGCCUUCGGGUUGUAAAGCACUUUUGGCGGGAACGAAAAGGACUGUGCUAAUACCACGGUUCGAUGACGGUACCCGGAGAAUAAGCACCGGCUAACUACGUG
RNAcentral lists this ribosomal RNA (484 nucleotides) under uncultured bacterium. RNAcentral describes it as "partial 16S ribosomal RNA". It matches the Rfam family "Bacterial small subunit ribosomal RNA", at positions 30 to 507 of the family's 1533-position model. The record is from RNAcentral.